Manis pentadactyla (Chinese pangolin) is the source of this 2150-nucleotide long non-coding RNA. RefSeq lists it as uncharacterized. NCBI's taxonomy places the organism in Eukaryota, Metazoa, Chordata, Mammalia, Pholidota, Manidae. The transcript is spliced from 3 exons. The record is from RefSeq and is a predicted model, not a curated record.
UGAUCCUGGCUGCGAGGUGCGCGCGCGGAGCGCUUCGCUCUGCUCUGCUCUGCUCAGCCUCGCGCCGUGGUUGGCGCCUGGCGCUGUCCUCCCCCGGCUGAGUCGUUCCGAGCUCUGGAAGCGUUUUUCUUAAACGCACUCAGCCCUCCCUCCGCCGCUGAGACUGCGCAGCGACAUUCACCCAGCCUAUGAUGCUGUUACCGCAACACCGUCGAAACCUGUUCUGAGAACGAUUGCCUCGGCCUUGGACCCGGGGAUGGGAGGUGGUCAAGAGACGAGUCACCGAAUGCCGAGGGUGGCACUGGGUGCAGAUCCCUUGUACCUGCGGGACCUCUGAAGAUGUGCAGCUAGUAAUGUUGAAGCAUCUUGGAUACGGAGAGUGCUCACCCUGAGCACAGCAGGAUGGUGUCAUUCAGACGAGGCGGCAGGGAGAUCAGCAGCCAGACUGUUGGAUGAGAUGUGGAGCAAGAGGAGACCCCGUGGUGCUGGUUGAGAGAAGAGACGAAAGAGACCUUAUUUUCUGGGAUAAAAAUAUUCAAAUCCAACAGGGAUAAAGUGAGAUGCUCUCUUUUAUCCCACCUCUUUCAUUCCAUCAGUUAUGACCACCAGUAGAAAGUCUUUAACGUGCAGGAACUUCACAGACACAGCAUUCUCACAGCACAUUGUUAAAACUGGUCUCUUUCUGGAUAAACCCAUUUUGAGACCAUAAAUGUUAACUGGUAAAUAUAUGGUAGUUUAGUAUUGAGUCUAUGUACCUUCCCCAGGCCACUCCUCCAGCCCCAAAGGCUUUGUUUAUCCAUUUAUAUACAACCUGGUCAUGUGGAAAAACCACCCGGUUGGAAUUCAGACAACCUCGGUUCUAAUUUCAGUUUGGCCACUUACAGAUCCUUUGUUAACUCAAGGAAAGCAACAACCUCUAUGCGCUUUUUUAAAAUUGGAGAUAUAAAAAUGCUGCCUAUUUCAAAACUACAAACCAAUACAAAUGUAGGGUUUACAUUUAAGUUGGAAGAGUAUAUUCUUGUCUAUUUUAGGAAAUAUAGUAAGGAAAGUUGUCUCCGUUUUUUGGUUUGGGUUAGCUGCUGCCCACAAAAAGUGUUUUACAUUUGCCAAAGAAGUACCAUCUAGAAUUCUUAAUUUUUAGCCAUUCUCCAGCACUUGUUUAUAGUUCCAGCACAGCAGUUAUCACUGUGGGUCUUAUAUUAAGUUACUUGCACAUCGCAUUUUCCAGUCUUCCUCAGUAGGCUUCUUUUUUAUCCUUGUGUUCUCACUCUGCCCUCUAUUACAUGGUGGGUGCUCAAUGAAUUUAAUUGAUUAAAUUAAACCGGAUUGUAAAUUUUCCCAAAUUUGGUGUUUUUCUUAUUAAGGCAUGCCAUCUGCUGGUUCCCUAGAGUAUCGGUCAGUCGGCCUGAAUACCUUAUUCCUAAAUUAAUAUUCAUGUUGAAGCAUUUGUGAGUUUGUGUGUUAGGCAAUUUUCCCACCUCUUUCACUCCUUGUUGCAGGUGCUCUUUCAUUGAACCGAUAUCGAAUUAUUUUCCCUCCAACCUUCUUUUACCUGUUGGGCACUCUUAAAAUCUGGAAAAGUGAAGCUUUCAUUUCGGAGCUCCGGUGUGACCAGGGGAAUACAAUUGGGCAUGCUCAGUAGGUUGGCCUGAUUUGGAACAAAAAUUUGUCUUGAAUGAGGCUUUCAUUGCGGCGUGUUUCAGGAUUGGAUGCAUCUUCAUUCUAGCAUUGUAUUGGGAGAUGGCAGCCGCUCCCACCCUUCACUCUUUUUAGUGUUCUUCGUGUGCCCAGUUUUGGAGCCAGCCCUCCUGGAUCUCCUGGCCAAUCAAGAGAUCACACAUUGUUGCCUAAGAGACCCCGGGCCAGCGAAAGGAUUUAUAGAUGGUGAUUGGACUACUGGAAGUAGGCAGGGUGGGCUGGACAGAGUCAAAGAAAAAGCAGCUAUGGCAACACCAGCGCUUGAGGCUUGAAGGAGGAGACGAGCUAAGGAGGUGAGAGCAUUGGGCCGAACAAGAAAAAGAUGGAGACUUUUUCGAGAGCUCCACCCUGAGACACCACCCCACCCGUGCCUCUCACAAAACCUCGUUAGGGCCCCUGGGGAUUGCAUUUUGCUGCUUUUCAGAUGCAGUUAGAGUGCCAGGUGCUCCAUG